RNAcentral lists this long non-coding RNA (766 nucleotides) under Anas platyrhynchos platyrhynchos (common mallard). RNAcentral describes it as "lncRNA (ENSAPLG00000017632.1)". The record is from RNAcentral. Lineage: Eukaryota; Metazoa; Chordata; Aves; Anseriformes; Anatidae.
UUCAUUUAAUGAGUGCUCUUUUGGAGAGAGAUUUCUUUUAAAGUGCAUGCAGGAAAACGUAUAAUUGUUACUAUAAGUUGAUGUAUAAAUUGUUGGCUAUUUUGGAGAUGCAGUUAGGUUGGGCUUUUAAAGUAACAAUGUUUACAGAGAUUUUACCUCUUAAGAAUUAAUAAAUACAUCUAUGUCUAAGUUGUAGGUUAAACAUAUAUUUUUUCCCAUUCUAAUUUUGACAAAAUACAAUGUAAUAUACAUGUUAGAAAUCAAUUUUCUAAGUUCUAAUGAAACUUCAAAAUUUUCAUCUACAGAGAGAGAAGUUUGAGCAGAAGUUUGAGCAGCCAACUGCCAGUUCCAUUUUUCUAGGACCCUCCCUAGCAAGGCAAUGUGGAGAUAAGCAGAAUUGCUAGAUACCUGCAUACCUGUAGUAAAACAUUUCCAGUCAAGAGGAGAAACAAGCCUCUGAAGAGCGGAUAUGAACCAAAUGCUUUCUUUGGUCAGUAACUCUGUCAUUCCUUCAGAACCCCUUUUUGAGACUUCUGAAAUUAGUCUGCCCUUUCUGUGCCCAAGCUCCUACUGUUAGACUGUCUGAGUGACUCCACAGAUGACUCCUGCAUUGAGGGUUUCCAGGAUUCCCAAUUAGCAGCUUUCACUAUGGCUUGCCAUCUCAUGUAGCUAUAAUUUUUAGCCAUGUAGGACAGAAGAGACAGUGUCAGCAAUUAUGUUCCUUUUUUUUUUUUUUUUUUUUCUCUUUUAAAUUAAAGAAGUAAAU